GGGGAGAUUCCAGAGCGGCCAAAUGGGCCAGACUGUAAAUCUGGUGGCUCACGCCUUCGCAGGUUCGAAUCCUGCUCUCCCCA
Molecule: transfer RNA, 83 nt
Filed under: Planctomycetota bacterium
Lineage: Bacteria; Pseudomonadati; Planctomycetota
Description: Planctomycetes bacterium (bioreactor metagenome) tRNA-Tyr
Rfam family: tRNA
About the family: Transfer RNA (tRNA) molecules are approximately 80 nucleotides in length.
Source: RNAcentral